GACCCAAAAUGGGAAGAUAUAGUCCGACCUGCAUGGCGACAUGCAGAAUACGGCAGAAAUGUCCGUAUCUGUGCGAUUAAGGCACAAGCAACAAAUGUGAGCGUAAUCCCUUGCCGGGUAAGUUCCGGCCCGCAUGAAUGGCUUAAUAAGUGGAGAACUGUCUCAACGAGGAGCCCGGUGAAAAUGCAGUACCUGUGAAGAUGCAGGUUACUUGCGGCUAGACGGAAAGACCCCGGAAGCUUUACUGUAGUUAGAUAUUGAAUUUAGGUUUCUAAUGCGUAGUGUAGUGGGUAGUCUUUGAAGCAUCACUCUCGGGUGGUGUGGAGACGCCGAUGAAACACCCAUCUUUAGUGGCCUAUGUUCUAACCCGCGCAAGCGGGGACAGUGUUUAACGGGCAGUUUAAGUGGGGCACUUGCCUUAACUAUUACAAAUUGAACGCAUUUGUAAUGGGGCCGUUUUAAAGCGAUUUAAAACGUAAACUCGACUAAUAUGCUGGAACCUCCGAGUAUCCAAAAGUACUCAACUUUGUUAGAAUAAAGUAAGUGAAAAUCUUUUGGUGCGGACAAUCAGCAGGGAAUUAUUUAAUCCUUAAAUAAACCCUCAACGACUGCACGUCGGGCUCCUGAUAAAAAUCAGGAUGGUGAUACAGUCUGAACUUUAUGGCGACAUAAAGAUUCGGUAAUGUUAAUUUUUAAAACCGUGGUUAGGUUUUAAUCGUGCCAAUUAACUAACCCGAAACUUAAACUCUAAUCUAUGCGAAGUAGAAUAAUAGAGGAGUAUAAAAGCAAGCUUUUUUUAAGCGACCGACAGAAGGAAAUUCUAGUUGGAGCAAUUUUGGGAGACGGGCAUUUAGAAAAAUUGUUUUCUCCCAAGUUGAGUAGGCUAAAAAUCGAACAUAGCUACAAGCAGAGAAAAUAUGUAGAUUGGUUCUACAAAGAAUUCAGAAAUUGGGUUCGAACAAAGCCAAAACAAAAAAUAAAAAAAGCCUGGAAUAAAAUUUAUAUCAACUAUGGAUUUUCUACGUAUGGGCAUAGACUGUUGGGAGCAGUUCAGAAGGAAUUUUAUUCGGAUAGGAAAAAAGUUAUACCAAGUAAUUUAUUUAAGAACGUAACGCCUUUAGUUUUAGCAGUUUGGUAUAUGGACGAUGGCUCGGUAAAAUCAAAUAAACAUAAAGGAGUAUUUCUUAAUACGCAGGGUUUUCGCGGAAAGGAUGUUAAAACUCUGCAGGACGUUCUAAAAAAUAAAUUUGGUGUGGCUAGCUCUACAAGAAAAGAUCAAACUGGGAAGCAAAUCUAUAUAGGAGGAAAAUUUGGCGAGAAAUUCAUACGAAUCAUCGAACCAUUUAUAAUUCUGCCUAUGAGAUAUAAAAUUCCAAGAGUUUUAAGGUUAACAGAAUUGCCUAAAGAGUAAUGGAGGCGUUUAUAAGGUUGGCUAGCUCCGGAUGGAAAUCGGAGCGAUAGGGCAAAGCCAUAUGCCAGCUUUACUGCAAGACGGAUAUGUCGCGCAGUUGGGAAACCAGAACUUAGUGAACCGAUCGUGGUUAUUAGAACCGCGAAAGAUCAUCAACUAAAAGCUACUCCGGGGAUAACAGGCUGGUAGAGCCCGAGCGUCCAUAGCGACGGCUCUGUUCGGCACCUCGAUGUCGGCUCACCACAUCCUGGGGGUGGAGCAGCUCCCAAGGGUUUGGCUGUUCGCCAAUUAAAGUGGUACGCGAGCUGGGUUCAAACCGUUUAGAAGCUAAUAAUUUAUCGGCUUUUAAACAGUUUGAACCCCGAGGAAGACAUACACACACGGCGGCUCUUGAUAGUAAUAUUAAGAGAGAAGCUAACUAAUAUCGGUAAAAUCCCACGCGGACAAUACCGAGGGAAGUCAUAAUGAUGCCCGUAGAGACUAAAUGUUAGCCUCCUUGAAUAAAGGAUGAAGUUAUAGUCCAUACAUUUAGCGAUAAAUGACCAAAUAUGCGUGAGACAGGUUGGUCCUUAUCUACCGCAAGCGUUGAGUUUUGAGAGGCUCUGACCCUAGUACGAGAGGACCGGGUUGGACUAACCUCUGGUGUACCAAUUGUUCCGCCAGGAGCAUUGUUGGGUAGCUAAGUUGGGAAGGGAUAAAUGCUGAAAGCAUCUAAGCAUGAAGCCCACCUCAAGAUAAGAACUCCUAGAUUCCUCAGAGAUGAUGAGGUUGAUAGGCCUCAGGUGUAAGUGGAGCAAUCCAUUCAGCCGAGGGGUACUAAUAUUCAUUGUUCACUUUCU
This 2250-nucleotide ribosomal RNA is filed under the name Patescibacteria group bacterium. RNAcentral describes it as "partial 23S ribosomal RNA". It matches the Rfam family "Bacterial large subunit ribosomal RNA", at positions 1827 to 2925 of the family's 2925-position model. The record is from RNAcentral.